Molecule: long non-coding RNA, 247 nt
Filed under: Olea europaea subsp. europaea
Lineage: Eukaryota; Viridiplantae; Streptophyta; Magnoliopsida; Lamiales; Oleaceae
Source: RNAcentral
CUUCUUUUUUCAAUGUUAGAUUAAUAAGUUGGAUUACAAGUUGUUCAAGAGGGAAGGAUGUAAGCACUACCACACUCUUGGGGAGAUAUUCAGCGGGACUACAUCUACUGAAGGAUUAGGCAGUGCCUCCACCCAGCUUCCAAACACAUUAGAGGAAGAAAGAUAGCUAGAAGAUGAUUUUUUGAAUAGGGAGUACAUGUGACUGCGAAAAAUGAUGAUGAAGUUGAUGUGGUUUCAAAUACUCGUC